This 422-nucleotide ribosomal RNA is filed under the name uncultured bacterium. RNAcentral's name for it is "bacterial SSU rRNA". It matches the Rfam family "Bacterial small subunit ribosomal RNA", at positions 355 to 774 of the family's 1533-position model. The record is from RNAcentral.
UGAGGAAUAUUGGGCAAUGCCCGAAAGGGUGACCCAGCAACGCCGCGUGGAGGAUGAAGGUCGUAAGAUUGUAAACUCCUGUUAGAGGGGAAGAAUAACUAAGUUUGGAGCUUAGUAUGACUGUACCCUCAGAGAAAGCCCCGGCUAACUACGUGCCAGCAGCCGCGGUAAUACGUAGGGGGCAAGCGUUGUCCGGAUUUACUGGGUGUAAAGGGCGCGCAGGCGGAAUGGAAGGUCAGUGGUGAAAUCCUACAGCUUAACUGUAGAACUGCCUUGGAUACUUUCAUUCUUGAGUUCGGGAGAGAGAGACGGAAUUCCAGGUGUAGUGGUGAAAUACGUAGAUAUCUGGAAGUACACCAGUUGCGAAGGCGGUCUCUUGGUCCGAUACUGACGCUGAGGCGCGAAAGCGUGGGGAGCAAACA